Molecule: non-coding RNA, 589 nt
Organism: Equus caballus (horse)
Lineage: Eukaryota; Metazoa; Chordata; Mammalia; Perissodactyla; Equidae
Source: RefSeq, a predicted model, not a curated record
UGGGAAACUGGCUUGCAGAGAAUAUGGUGAAGUAAGAGGAAGAUGUGAAAUAAAAUCUCCAUUCUACUCAGUCUUAGAAUAUUGUGUGGAGGUGUAAUAUUCUAGUUAUUCAAUUAGAGAGAUAAAGUCCUGAAAAACGAAAAAACCAACUAAAGUGCCAGCAUAUCUCAGGGUAAAGUGAGGAGAAUAAAGACAACUGAAGACCCCACUUUUUCUCAUCUCUUGUAUGAAAUGCAAAUUUGUCACAUUGAUCCUUAUAAGUUUAGAAGAUUAAAUGCUACUUUGCAGUAACAGUUGGCUGGCAUUGAAAUAAAUUCACGGCAACUACAGAGCGCUACAGUCUAGAGUCGACAUUCAAGUGUUUGGAAAAAAUAAAAGAAGGAAGAAAUAAAAGAAAAGAAAAGAGAGAGAAUGAAAGACGUGGUUUUCCGUGCACUCUUCUCGGUAGCAUUUGGGUGGUGAAGCAAUCAAUGGUCGCAGUUUUUGACAGCAAUGCAUUAUAUGGAGAGAGAUACUCAGCUCUAAUUCUUUACCCUUUCUCCAAGUUUUGUAACUAAAUAACCUUUUUAAAUAAAAUAUUGCAACAGUC